GGGGGGAGGGGCCUCGGGGAAGAAGGAAAGAAAGUCAAGGGGGGUUUUGAGGUGUCAGCGACUCAAAUGAAUAGUGGCGCAAGGGUAUAAGUUGAAGGAUUGGUUUAGGAAAAGCCCAGGGUCCUUGGUGUAAACUGAUUUUCUAGAAAACCUUUGUAUUAUUUCUAAUUUAAAUACAAACAGAGCUUGUAAAAUUCAUAACUUCAGUUUUAUUUGACCAAAUGGGGUCAAACCAAUUUUGUCUGACUCUAAAUAAUGUGAACUACUUAGGAAAAAUACAAAACCCCCUUAGUAUUACAGAAGAAUUUAAAGUUUGGAAUUGAAUAUUGAUUUGGCCAAAAGCUAAAUAAUAAAGGGAAAAAUAGUUACACUGUUAGACUGAGGUUAAGAAAAAUCAGAGAAGUACUUAACCCCUCCUUACUCUGUUUAAAAAUGACACACCCCUUAGUACACCAAUUAAGGAAGGGUUUACCAUUUAAACUCAUUCUUGGCUCAAAGUUAAGGAAAAUAGAAAAGGUAACUUAAAAUGAGAACCAGGAGGCAACCAUAUUUUUACUAGCUCACCUAUUUAGUAUAGUUUACUGUAAAAUUUUGUUAGACCCUUGGUUAGUACAAAAGAAAUGAAAUACCUUUUAUUUCAUGAAAACAAUGAAAACUUAGAAAAACCUUAGAAAAAUAAUUCUAAAGAGAACCCACCCCAAACCUUGGGAUAACUAAUAAUAUGUUACUAUAAAAGUAAGAAAAAUGUAAGUUCUGUUGUUUGAUAUUUUUCAAAUGGCAAGCUAGUUAUAAGGGUCUUUUUGGCAUUAAACUUUAGAAAAUCAUAACUAAAUAACCACUAAGUAACCCUCUAUGAUUUUUGGCACAGAAGCAUGUGAUUACCCAUAGAUGCCAGCAAAAAUAACUCUUAGUACAGAACCCGCACCUAGAUAAGAGUUGUAGUGCAAAGUGACCCCUCUGCCCCAGCUUUUGUUAUUUUUGUCCAGGGCUUAUCUUAAUUAUUUUUUACCCCAAAUUUAAAGGACAGACUACAGUGACCAAUAUUAACCCCCUGUAAUUUUUGUAGAAUUUUUGAAAAUUUUGAAUUCACUGUUGUAGUUCAAACCCACCUUAAAAGCAUAAAUAGAAAAAGGGAAAAGAGGAAUUAGUAGUGGAGAUAAAUGUUACCCUAAGCAACCCAGCAAAGCCCCCCGAGUACCUACUAAAACCUUAAAGAACAAUCCAAGUCUUAAUCCACUACGUUUACCUCUAAGCAAAACCUCAAACCUAGGUUGCUAAGCAAAAACCACUAAGAGCUUCUUAUAACAAGAAAACCUGAGAUAUCAACUAACUUAGUUUCUCGUCACUAUGCAUAAUGGUUACUAAAUUCUGCAUAUCAUAGCAUACAUCUAUCUUAUUCAUUUCAUUCGAUAGAUUGCAACCUCACUGACGGAGAGUACAUCCUCGUGCCGGAGCAAGGAGUUGCUCAGGAGGUAGCCCAGGAUCUAGCACUAGAGCCUACCCUCGAGGAUCUGCCUACCCUAGCUUUGGAAGGCAAGCCCCGGUUUUAUGCAUAACCGUUUAUAUAUGCUAUUUUACUACACUUAAUGUUUGUAGGUUUGUACUGUGCACUUAAGUGUAGGAGUUGACUGAAACCCUAGUUGCAUGAACUCAAGAAUCCUUUUGAGAUGGAUACUAGUAUGCUAGGUCGAGUAGCUGCCUUACUAAUUAGGGAUCUCGGUCGAAGUCGAGUGAUUUUUCUAGCACUCGCGCGAGGUCAGGAAUUGGUUGUAUCCACUUUCUUAUCAUAAUGAUGUUGGACUGUGGACAACAAUCCAUGGGGAUUGGUUGUCUACGGGAUGGAAAUUGGAAUAAGGAUUAUGGUGUGGUACCGUGAGUCAAGCAUUUGAACGUACUAAGCACAUGCCGAGAAAUAUGGUAAAUCGGUAAGCCUAGUACCUAAGUGAACCUGCCCGCAGACUUUGCCCCUCAUGCGACCUGAGACGUGGUCUCCCAUUCUAGUUAUGGUGGGUACAAGUGCGGUCACUGCACGAUGGCAGUCAGGGUCAGUGAGGCAUUGUACGCCAAGGCGGUGAGCCCUGAUCUGUUGCUAGGGAAUCGAUGGGGAUGGUUGAUGUGUGUGGGGACGGAGUGUCUCGCCACGUCGUGUGUUUAGGUUUGCCUUGCAAGGUUUCAAAACUCGAUUCGAAUCAUCUGCUUCUCGCAGCUAAUGAGACUGCUUGAUCCAUGCUGCUACAUUGAGUAACAAGUGGAAAUGUGUUGUUUUGGAAAAAGAUGUUGAUUGCUAAAAAUGAUUGCUACCAGUAUGAUUAGAUAGGGAUAUAUCUAGUCUUAAGAGAGUCACACUAAAACUUGAAAAGCAAAAACUUGAUCUUAGACUGAGCUAGUGCUUUUGGCAAACCAAACCCCUUAGCCAAACAGCUGCAUGUUUAGAGGUAGAGGAGUAGACUCCUCACACCGGGUAAGUCUAGCUGAGUAUUAGUAUACUCAGCCUUGCUUGUGGCAUAAUUUUACAGGUUCUCUGGAGGACAUGGUUGCUGGAGUGACUUGGCCGUCCACCUUGCCACCGGGUUGGACAGUCGAGUGGGACCCUACCUCGGCGGAGGAGGAGCAUGAGGAGUGAUGGGACAGGCUUCCCCAAUCCUCCGUUUAUUUAUCGUUAGUUUUAUUCUGCUACAUUCCGAACAAUGAUCACUACUUUUGCUAAAACUCCGAUGAUGUUGUAAUAAAUUUAAUACUCCUUAAUGUAUGGUUCUAUGCUUUAUUGUAUUUGCUCUAUGCCACACCAUCGAGUGAGUAUGUGGUACUUGAUCCUGUUAGUGGCCUCGUCGGACUAGAUCUGAGGGACUGACGUGUUAUUCCUAUUUAAGUGUGGUCUAGCCUCUAAGGUGGGACUUAGGCACUUAAGUUGGAAUAAUUCGGGCGGUUCCGCCACAGCUGGUAUCGGAGCUCGUACCACCACAGAGGAAUCAAUAAACUGUAAAUACCAUCCUUUUCAAAAGUAAAACUUGUUAGAAACAAAUGUUGGAUAGAUCGUCAGGACGAUAAGGAUAGACCUAGGACGUGAAGCCUUAGGAUAAUAGAGGGGUAGCUAGGUGGCUAUGUGAGUAAGCCCUGCAGGCUGCUAUAAGGGAUGGGAGUUCUUCCGUAUUCCCUCUAAGUUGGAAUGAGGUCAUUAGGACGAGCAUGCAUGCAUCCCUACUUAAACUAUUGAUAAUUAGGUAAGAAUUUUAAUACAUGAUAAUGACAGAUUAAGUACACUCAGUGACAUUGUCGUAGCCAUAAAGAGGCCGAGCCUUGAUCCCUUGUUAUUUUAUAAUUCGUUUUCUUUUUCACUUACGCUUAACCAUACACAGAUGACUUCUCACGGAUCCUCGGACGGAGGGAACGCACAGUCCCACACGAAUGGACUUGCACGAGAGGGUUUUCCCCGUAUCUUGUGGGAGGUACUUCAAGGAGCCGGUUACAUGACGCCUCCCCAGUACGCGGUGCAGCUGUUCGAGAAGCACCGAGUGCCCCGCUGUAGGGUGAGGAUGACCCUGGAGCCUCAUCCCUUAUAGCCAGGCUGGCGUUCGUUGGACCCCGAGUCUUUCGUAUACCGGGCUGAGGAUACUAUCGAGGCCAUUGCUCUCCAUGGGCUGACUACUUUCUAUGGUUUUCACCCCUUGGAGCUAUCUACUCACCCCAUUGUUUUGUUCCCCGCUGACAAGGAGGACGACCCAAUGUGGAAAGACCGAGUGGAACAUGCCAAGGAUAUAUGGGCUCUUUACCCAGGGCAAACUGCUCACCUCACGGUGCGAUGCAUGAAUGCCCUGUAUCGUCUGCAAGUGAUGCGAGGAGAGGCAAUGUAUCAUCUGAUGGCAUUGUUGGAGGCUACCAAGAUUACCUUGGAUAACAGAGAGGAACUUGUGGUAGACCUGUCCACUGAGAUGGUGGAAAAGGACCUACAGGUGGAACAGCUGUCCAUCGAGAUCCAGGAGCUUGAGGAGCUAGUGGGAACCAGGGAGAACACCAUUGAGGUUCUCGAGGAUCAACUAAUCAACACUCAGCGGCAACUUGCGGAAGCUAACCAACAUUUGGAUAUGCACCAGCAGGAGAUCCAGGGCAUGGAGGCCAACGAGGAUGUCGACAACGAGGGAGGAGAGGAGCCGGAGCCUGCAUCCAGCUUGGACACUGCUGGCUCAGGGAGACCACCUUCCCUCGAGUCGAACGUUGCCUCGUUUGCUCACUAGGUUGCAGGGAUAGAGUUAGAAGUGUGUGGUGGUAGAACUCCUCGAAGCUAGCUUAGCUUUUGCACCCUUGGGGUACUAGGCUAGACAGAGUUGAGUCUUUUGGGUCACUGAUGUAAUCAUAACAAACUCUUUUGGAAGUUGGGAUGAUGAAUGAUGUCAGCUUUAAUUUAUGAAGAAAAGAUUUAUGCCACGUAGUAUCUUUGAUGAAUUAUGAAGAAAAUAUUGGUUUUACCCUUUCAAAUCUUUCACCACGUAUGGACCCUGACAUCUGAAGUAUAAUGUUGAGAGCAUCCUUAAAUUUUUCAGAUGGCAGGAAGAGCGCGUCGUGGACAGAAUGAGCGCAUCCCUCCACCCCCGCCACCGCCUCCUACCAUGGAGGAGUUGAUGGCUCAGCAGAAUGAGAUUCUGCGGCAGUUGGCUCAGCGACAGCCACCACCUCAGCACUAUGGUGGUGGUGAUCACCAUCAGCGUCCCCAGCAGCAGCCACUUAUCAGGAGUUCCUCAGCACUCAGCCGCCGUUGUUCACUCGGGCAGAGGAUCUGUAACACCCCAGGUGUUUAUAUUCCGCUCGACAACGAGUACGGAUUUAAGCACGUAAUAUCAGUGGAUAAAACAGAUGCUAAACUCUAAUUAUGUUCGCUAUCACGAUUUUUAUAUCGCAUAUGUGCUGUCUGUCGCGAGUGCGACAUCGUUUUUAUUUCCAUCUCUUCGGGCUCGUCCUAAAUUUUCGGGAUGUUCGGAACAUCGUUGUUCCGAAAAUUGGCGAGUCUGGUGAUUAUUUAAAAUUCACCGCUCGCGCAUAGGCGAAUUUGAAAAUAUAGCCUAGUCCUCCGAUUUCAUCCCAAAUUGAUUAAAUUGAUUCGUCUACUAAAUUAUCUGCCUUAAAUUAAAUCAAGCGCAGUCUAAAUUUGUUGAAGCUGAAAUCAGUUUGAUCCGGUCCGUGCGUUUGUCAUCUCGAUCUAAAUCUCCAAAUAUGAAUAACCGGUAAAGAUUCAUCUGAAUUCAAGAGUAUUCACCAAAUCAAAUCCUAAUUUCCGAACCAAGAAAAUCGUGCGCAAAAUGAUUAAUUGGAUUGUGUCCAGCGAAAUAUUCAAAACAGAGAAAUUUAUUCGUGUUUGGAUAGCAUAUAAAUUUGUGUUCGGUGUUAAAUUUAUAAAACAUCAUCUGUAAGGGCAUGGGCGAUAUUGUGUAAGUCUGUUUUGUUUAUAUCUCGACCAUGCUUAAAUACUAGAACUCAGAUACAUGCGUGUGUAUUUUUAUGUUAAAAAAAUGAAAAUAUCCUGCCGCCGUUUCUCUAAUCCCUUCUCACUGCCUCUCCUUAUCCAAUCACUGCAGUCCCCUUCAAUUUUUUUCCCAACAUCUACGUCUCUUCAGUUCUUCCCAGCUCUGAUCUUUUUCCAGUUGACGUCUUCUUCCUUAUCCUUUUCCUUCGGUCACCAUCAUACCCAUUCUCGAUCCCUCUAUCUCUCGCAUCCGGUGCCGUGGCUGCCAGCCCCAGCGCUCACCAACCUCAUCUUCCCUGGCUGGAUUUCCCCUCGGCUUGCCGGCGUUGCUUGGCUCCAGCUCGCCGGAGCUCCCUGCUCGUCGUGGUGGCUGCGUGUCAGGGCACCGCCGACUCCCUGUCCCAGCCAGCGAUUUCUCCAGGCCGCCGAGCUCCUUGCACGCAGCCGCGUUCCUCUGUCUGGCCACUCUCGCCCAGCCCAGCCAUCUCCUUGCUUCCCCAGGCUUCUAGCGCGUAGGGCAGUUCUCGGGUCCGAGCUCGAGCAGGUGAGCUCGCCCAUGGCCGACCAUCUUCCAUGGAGAUCGACGUUCCCCUUGUUCCUUGGUGGCUGGCACCCUGCACGACUUUUCCCCUAGCUCCAGCUGCUCGGCGCCCCUGUGCUUGCUCGCCUGGAUCUCCCAUGGCGCGCGUCCCCUUGCAAGCUCCUCGCGCUGGCCGAGUUUCCCUGCUCCCAUGGCGUUCUCCCCAGCCAUCGCCGCUUCUCUCUGCUUCCCAGCUCACGUCGCGGCUUCCUGCGCUCGGUCGCCGCGUCCCUGGCCCUCAGCUCGGAUUUUCUUCCCCAGCCGAGGUCCCUGCUCGACCGCGUUCCCCUGCCCAGCGUCGCGUUCAGCUCUGUUGCCGCGCGAGCUCGGCCCAGCUCAGAUCUCACCCAGCGCCGCGCGCCUAGCUCGGCCGUCUCUAGCUCACCUUGCUCUCGGCCGCUCGCCCGGUCGAGCUCCCUGACCGCCACGCCGUGAAUUUUUCCUGCGCGCGCGUGUCUCCUUGCGCACGCGUCGCCGCCGAGUUCUCUUCCGCGCGCUGCUCCUCUUCCUUCGGCCAAAGAUGAUGAAAACGUAAACUCACAACCAUUUAUAGGGGUGAAAACGGGCGGAUACGGACGGAUAUUAGCUCAUCCUGUAUCCUACCCUAAUGUAUUUAAAACGGAUUCGGGAUCGGAUACGGAUAGUUAGAAACGGGACGGAUACGGAUACAGAGACCGGAUAUUUAUCCGAGCGGAUAAGUGACGGAUACGGAUAUUAUUUGAUCGGAUAUCGGAUACUUGUCGGAUAAUGCAUUAAUUGGUUAUCAAAAAAUAUUCUUGUUCGACACGAAAUUGCAAGUAAAUUAAUACUAAUAAACAUUUAAUAGAAGAUAAUCUCAAGUUCCCACGUAAAAAUGGUAAAGCGAAGUAUUGAUUAUGUUGAAACUUGGAUACUUAGAGUGAUUUCACGUGUAACUCACGCAAUAAGUGGAAAUAAAAUAGAAGAAACAUUGACAUCCUGUGGAUUUUAUGGUCUCAUUAUUUUUUAUGACUAUAUGUGGCCAUAUGUUGUACCUUCGUAUAAUUUCAUAGAUUUCUGAGGCUAUUUAUACAUUAUUAAUUUCUUUCUACGUAAAAUCAUCAAAGUAUAAUUAAAAUUCAUAAAUACACUAGUUUUGAUCCAAAAUUGCAAAAAGCUUAACAAAACAAAUAAACAUUCUAUUCAAAUAAAACCUCAAGUCGCCACAUGAAAAUGAUAAGUUAAAUAUUAAUUAUGUUGAAACUUUGAUACAUAAAAUGAUUUCACACGUAACUCACGCAAUAAGUGGGAGUGGAAUGGAAGAAACACCAACAUCUUGUGGAUUUUAUAGUCCAAAUGUUUUUGAGAACUAUAUGUGGAUAUAUGUUGUGUCCCCGUAAAAAUUCAUGAAUUUUUUAGGCUAUUUGGUGUAUUAUUAAUUUCUUGUUGUAGAAAAUCAUAAAAAUACAAUUAAAUUCAUAAAAAUAUUGUAGCGUCGACCGGAAAUUGCAAAUAAGUUACCAAUAUUAAUAAAUAGUUUAUAAAAAGAUAAUCCUAAGUUCCCACAUGGAUAUAAUCUUAAGUCCCCACAUGAAAAUGAUAAAGUCUAUUAUUUUGAUAAAAAUUUAGACAUUAUUUCAAUUAUUUUGGCCUAAAGAUAUGUUUAAACAAAAAUGUGAUGUACUACAAAGUUAUAGAUCUCUUCGAGCUCUACAAUUUUCAUAUAAACUUUAUCUUCAUCCGAUUUCAUAUGUAAAAGUUAUGAUUUUAUAACUAUAUUAUUAUGCAGAAAAAGAAAAAACGGGUACCCGAAUUCCGGGUACCCGUAUCCGACCCGAAUAUCCGGGUAUUUACCGGGUAGUACUCGCUCCGUAUCCGACCCGAAUCCGAAGCUAUACUAUCCGGGUAUUACCCGUAUCCGUCCCGAAUCUAAAAAAUACCCGUAUCCGUAUCCGAAAAAUGGUCCCGAAUCAGUAUCCGUAUCCGGUACCCGUUUCGGGUACCCUGCCCGUUUUCACCCCUAACCAUUUAUGCGCUGGAGAGACCGUUUUGUCUUUUGUGCCGAAGCAAUUUAUAAAGCACAAGCCGAAACUGGUGAAAUCAAGGGGCAUUACUUGAAUGCGACUGCAGGUACAUGCGAAGAAAUGAUUAAGAGAGCUGUAUUUGCAAGGGAAUUAGGGGUUCCUAUUGUAAUGCAUGACUACUUAACAGGAGGAUUCACCGCAAAUACUACUUUGUCUCAUUAUUGCCGCGACAACGGCCUACUUCUUCACAUUCACCGAGCAAUGCAUGCAGUUAUUGAUAGACAGAAAAAUCAUGGUAUGCAUUUCCGUGUAUUAGCUAAAGCAUUGCGUAUGUCGGGGGGAGAUCAUAUCCACUCCGGUACAGUAGUAGGUAAGUUAGAAGGGGAACGCGAAAUAACUUUAGGUUUUGUUGAUUUAUUGCGCGAUGAUUUUAUUGAAAAAGAUCGUUCUCGCGGUAUCUUUUUCACUCAGGACUCGGUAUCCAUGCCAGGUGUUAUACCGGUGGCUUCUGGGGGUAUUCAUGUUUGGCAUAUGCCAGCUCUGACCGAAAUCUUUGGAGAUGAUUCCGUAUUACAAUUUGGUGGAGGAACUUUAGGACAUCCUUGGGGAAAUGCACCUGGUGCAGCAGCUAAUCGUGUGGCUUUAGAAGCCUGUGUACAAGCUCGUAACGAAGGGCGCGAUCUUGCUCGUGAAGGUAAUGAAAUUAUCAAAGCAGCUUGCAAAUGGAGUGCUGAACUAGCCGCAGCUUGUGAAAUAUGGAAGGAGAUCAAAUUUGAUGGUUUCAAAGCGAUGGAUACCAUAUAAAAUAAAAAAAAGCAAAAUAGAAAGAGAAAAAAUAAGUUAAGAAAUGCAGUAAUUCUUCUUUAUUCCUCUAAUUGAUUGCAAUUCAAUUCGGCUCAAUCUUUUCUAAAAAAAAGACUGAGCCGAAUUGAAAUAGAUCUUGAUACGAUCAUGAGACUUGACAAAUCGAGAUUCUUCUAUUUGCAAGAAGCUCCCUGUUCAGUUCUCCGUAGUCCACCGUUUUUGGUUCGCGUCCUGCUCGCCUUUGCUCCACACGCGUAGUGCUCCGUUAUUCCUGCGCGUGCUACCGCGAAGCUCCCUGUUCAGUUCUCCUCCGUCGCGUUGUCAUGCGCGCAAAACUGCUCGCAGUCGACACCGAGACACGCGCUGGACACGAUGCAAUGCUGCGUGUCGUGUGAUGCACAUCCUAGGUCCUCAUCGUCGCGUCGUCGUCUUCACACUGUGUGCGACCAGCAUCGUCGUUUUCCCUGUCCUGUGCUCGCGUGGCUUUUUGCUCGCCAGCACGUCCUCUCGGCCCGCUUGAUCUUCAUCCCUAUCUCGUCAUCGACCUCGCCGCGACAUAGUUCGUCCGUCGUGCUAGUCGUUGUCCCAUACUGUACCUAUUAGCUCGGAUCCUGCCCCAGCUUGUCGUCGUGUCGUUUGCCGUCAAGUCGUCAAACACGUCAUCUCCGGCUCGAUCCCCACCUCACCAGCUCGCUCCAAACACGAUCUCGUCGUCGUUCCGCAAGUCGUCAAGAAAUCCCAAGUAUCAGGUGAAGACGAAGCUAGCAGCGCGAUAUUUUCCAAGCGCUCGACAAAUUGCCUCGAUCGGAAAAUUAUUACCGAUCUCGCGGGUUCAAGUCAAAUAUUAGAACGGUGAGCUGAUCUGCUAUUUUUAUUGACUGGUUUGAUAGAUGAAUUGAUAGGUAUGUAUGCCGCGACGAUUAUUGCGCUUGUAGCUCAGACACAUAUUUAUUUGACGCUUGUAGGAAUACAGGGCUACAUGUAGCAUGGUAAUUGUAUCCCCGAUUUCGAAGUCGUCGUGUUGUAUAACUAAAUCCAGGUCUCAAGGCAUAGGUUAUGUCUAAUUAUAUUGAUACAUGUGUACAAUAGGGGUUGUCGAGGUUACAAGGGAAAAUUAAUUGUGCUUCUGUGUUGAAGUCAGUAAUUUGCUUUAAGAGUCUUAUAAUAGUAAGCCUAAGUUCGUUAAUCUUUAGGUGUAUUCUUUAGCCAAGAAAAAUAUAGUCUUUAUACAUAAUUGUAGUUCUUGUUCAAGUUAACUUCGGUUAAGCUAGAGUAACUUAAUUAUUGUGUUUAAUUGUUUAGCUGCAUCUAGCGUGUGCUUAGGAGUGAUGUACUGUGCUUCUCCAUUAAGUAAUUAAUUGUCCAUUACGUAGCAUUAUUUAAGUUGUGAUAUUCCUGUUUAUAUGCAUUCAUGUGCAUUAUGCAAAUCAUUUAGGUACGAUAAUUAAUCGCGUGAUGCGGAAGAUGAGCCAAGUCGACCCCAAGCGCGGGCUAAUCCGUAGGAUGAAGCUGAUGAACCAACCUGAAGAUGGUUAAAUCAAACAAGUGCUCGGUCGAGGAAUGAUCGUCAAGUGGACAUCGCCUAACAAACACUAACCUAGUGUUACCCAGGCAAGCCCCGGUGCAUGCAACCCCUUCCUUGUGUUUUUAAAUAAUUUUUGCACACUUUAAGUCUAGUGAAAUGUGCAUUAGGUUUAUAGGAGUUGCUUGAAACCCUUUGAUGCAUUGCCUUCCUUGAUAUCCAUACCUUUAUAGAUACUUCUGAUGAAGUAUCAAAAAUAUGAUUUACAAAAAAGCUUAGCCCUGCUUCGAUCUUGUGGAUACAGGUUGUCUUUUGCAAUACUGCCUAGCUCAGGGGUUAUCCUGAGGAAGGAUGGCUUCUACCUGCAAGAAUAUAUUUUCAUUGGGAGCAUGGUGGGAUCUUACUGCAAAGUUCCCUGUGAUGCUCUUUUCAUCCUAAGGAACACAAACAAUCCUAAGGAUGGAAGUACUUAAAUCGGAACUUGGGCUAGGAACAGGUGAAGUUCUACCCAGGUUGAUUAAGGAUUGGAUGCGUAUGUAGGCUUGAUGAUCGAGGACCCUUUAACUGGUCACAUGCCUCGUCAUAGGUAAGCUUUGCCUCGGGCAGACUAAGGCCAGAAUAAGAUAACACGUAAUGGGCGUGGAGCGGUGGCGAGAGUAGCGUGUACCCUCCGUGGC
Molecule: long non-coding RNA, 11020 nt
Filed under: Zea mays
Lineage: Eukaryota; Viridiplantae; Streptophyta; Magnoliopsida; Poales; Poaceae
Description: long non-coding RNA (ZMAY_LNC005294)
Source: RNAcentral